UUGCAUCCAAAGCAUCGUACUUGUUUAGUAGGAAAAAUUUGCAGGAUAGGUGGAAAGCGUGAGUUGAAAGACGAUGCGCAUGCAUUGUGUUUGAUUCCCUCACAUGCCUGAGCCCUCCUUUUGCGAUCCCCCUUGCUUUGAUAGGUCAAAGUUAAAUCCUUAAACAAAGGGUGCCAUCCUUAUCCCAGACACUCCAAGCUCCUGUUUCCCAGUUUCCAACUAAAGGAUGCCACACCCAACGCCCCUCGAUCUUGAAUAUAGGCAAAUAAGACUCACCAAAUCCCCCAA
RNAcentral lists this long non-coding RNA (288 nucleotides) under Elaeis guineensis (African oil palm). RNAcentral's name for it is "long non-coding RNA (EGUI_LNC035996)". Lineage: Eukaryota; Viridiplantae; Streptophyta; Magnoliopsida; Arecales; Arecaceae. The record is from RNAcentral.